ACUCAAAGGAAUUGACGGGGGCCCGCACAAGCGGUGGAGCAUGUGGUUUAAUACGUCACAAACCGUAGAACCUUACCAAGGCUUGACAUCCUCUGCACCGGCGUGAAAGCGUCGUCCCCGCAAGGGGCAGAGAGACAGGUGUUGCAUGGCUGUCGUCAGCUCGUGUCGUGAGAUGUUGGGUUAAGUCCCGCAACGAGCGCAACCCUCAUCCCCUGUUGCCAGCGGGUUAUGCCGGGAACUCUGGGGAAACUGCCGGUGCAAGCCGGAGGAAGGUGAGGACGACGUCAAGUCAGCAUGGCCCUUACGCCUUGGGCUACACACAUGCUACAAUGGACGGUAAACAGACCGACCCGAAGCCGUGAGGUGGAGGAAAUCGGAGAAAUCCGUUCUCAGUUCGGAUUGCAGGCUGCAACUCGCCUGCAUGAAGCCGGAAUCGCUAGUAAACGCAGGUCAGCGAAACUGCGUUGAAUUCGUUCCCGGGCCUUGUACACACCGCCCGU
RNAcentral lists this ribosomal RNA (500 nucleotides) under uncultured bacterium. RNAcentral describes it as "partial 16S ribosomal RNA". It matches the Rfam family "Bacterial small subunit ribosomal RNA", at positions 899 to 1397 of the family's 1533-position model. The record is from RNAcentral.